ACGUGCACUUUUGGAGGUGCUGCUCUUUUUGCUCGUCCGUUUCGUCCCUUGGUUCUCCAUUGCAUUGUCGGCGAUAGAGAGCAACGAACGACUGCAGCUGACGGGGAAAACAUGCGGAGGUCGCAGACAGUGGUAGAGACAUCAAAUGGCAAGGAAGAAAGAUGUGAGUGGUUUGGUGUGAUCGCCUAGAUGAAGACUAUUAUAUAACUCAACUCAGGUCUUGGAAAACGAUUGACAUGUUCCUUUAACCUCUGGUGAUCCUGGACACUAUUACGUCAUAAGUGUGGACUUGAUGAAGAUGAUGAUGUAUAUCAUAGACAAUUGUCCUACUCGCACUCCUAAAAGCUUUAUAUGGCAACGCUCCCGUAGACUUGGUAAGGUCACAAAUAUUUUGUAAUAUUGUUUCCAAUUUUACCACCAUGCUUGUGGUGCUUACUUUUCCGUGUUUGACGUUUCAUGAUUGGUGUUGUGCAACGUGGUGAUAUUUGUUAUGCGUGAGGAAUGAUUUAGUGGUGCAUUACACUGUAUUUUGUCGUGCAUUCACACUUGGCUCAUGUGUUUUACUAUCUUGUAUUCUGAUCUGUAAAGUGGGUUCAUGUGUCUAAUUGGUGUAUUCUUUGUGGACAUUGCAACAAGCAUUACUUGGCUCGUUUAUGAUCGAGCGGAUUGCGUGCAAUGCUUGUAACCGAAGUGGAUGCAAAUGUCAUUGGAGGGACGCAACCAUCUUGGAGGAUAAUGCCAUUUAUUCUAUGCGCCACAUAAAUCGAAUUUGGGUUAGAGUGUUUCAAACUUGACGUGUGGUAUAGUCAAAAGUGACAUGGACAUGCUUAAUAAUUUGCGUAAGAGGUUCAUGCAUGAUAUCUUGGUGGUCAAUUCAUUUGUACAUUCACAAAUCUAGGUUGCUGGUUGCACAUC
Ipomoea nil (Japanese morning glory) is the source of this 915-nucleotide long non-coding RNA. RefSeq lists it as uncharacterized. Lineage: Eukaryota; Viridiplantae; Streptophyta; Magnoliopsida; Solanales; Convolvulaceae. The transcript has 3 exons. The record is from RefSeq and is a predicted model, not a curated record.